Molecule: ribosomal RNA, 497 nt
Filed under: uncultured bacterium
Lineage: Bacteria
Description: partial 16S ribosomal RNA
Rfam family: Bacterial small subunit ribosomal RNA
Source: RNAcentral
GAUGAACGCUGGCGGCGUGCCUAAUACAUGCAAGUCGAGCGAACGGACGAGAAGCUUGCUUGUCUGAUGUUAGCGGCGGACGGGUGAGUAACACGUGGAUAACCUACCUAUAAGACUGGGAUAACUUCGGGAAACCGGAGCUAAUACCGGAUAAUAUUUUGAACCGCAUGGUUCAAAAGUGAAAGACGGUCUUGCGGUCACUUAUAGAUGGAUCCGCGCUGCAUUAGCUAGUUGGUAAGGUAACUGCUUACCAAGGCAACGAUGCAUAGCCGACCUGAGAGGGUGAUCGGCCACCCUGGAACUGAGACACGUUCCCGACUCCUACGGGAGGCAGCAGUCCGGACUCUUCCGCAAUGGGCGAGAGCCUGACGGAGCACCGCCGCGUGAGUGAUGAAGGUCUUCGGCUCGUAAAGCUCUGUUAUUCGGGAAGAACAUAUGUGUAAGUAACUGUGCACAUCUUGACGGUACCUAAUCAGAAAGCCCCGGCUAACUACGUG